This 1451-nucleotide ribosomal RNA is filed under the name uncultured bacterium. RNAcentral describes it as "bacterial SSU rRNA". It matches the Rfam family "Bacterial small subunit ribosomal RNA". The record is from RNAcentral.
GAUGAACGCUAGCGGCAGGCUUAACACAUGCAAGUCGAGGGGCAGCGGGUUUGUAGCAAUACAGAUGCCGGCGACCGGCGCAAGGGUGCGUAACGCGUGAGCGACAUGCCCGUCUCAGGGGGAUAAUCCGGAGAAAUCCGGUCUAAUACCCCAUGGUCCCGUUGGGAUGCAUGUCCUGAUGGGUAAAGAUACGCCGGAGACGGAUUGGCUCGCGUGACAUUAGCUGGACGGCGGGGUAACGGCCCACCGUGGCUACGAUGUCUAGGGGAACUGAGAGGUUGGUCCCCCACACUGGAACUGAGACACGGUCCAGACUCCUACGGGAGGCAGCAGUGAGGAAUAUUGGACAAUGGGCGGAAGCCUGAUCCAGCCAUGCCGCGUGAAGGAUUACGGUCCUAUGGAUUUUAAACUUCUUUUGCACGGGAGCAAUAAGGGUCACGGGUGGCCCGAUGAGAGUACCGUGCGAAUAAGCAUCGGCUAACUCCGUGCCAGCAGCCGCGGUAAUACGGAGGAUGCGAGCGUUAUCCGGAUUCAUUGGGUUUAAAGGGUGCGUAGGCGGUGGCGUAAGUCAGCGGUGAAAUUCACGGGCUCAACCCGUGCCGUGCCGUUGAUACUGCGUUGCUGGAGUACUGUCGCCGUGGGAGGAAUGUGUGGUGUAGCGGUGAAAUGCAUAGAUAUCACACAGAACACCGAUUGCGAAGGCAUCUCACGAGGCAGGGACUGACGCUGAUGCACGAAAGUGCGGGGAUCAAACAGGAUUAGAUACCCUGGUAGUCCGCACAGUAAACGAUGAUGACUAGCUGUCGGCGAUAGACAGUCGGUGGCUAAGCGAAAGCGAUAAGUCAUCCACCUGGGGAGUACGACCGCAAGGUUGAAACUCAAAGGAAUUGACGGGGGCCCGCACAAGCGGAGGAACAUGUGGUUUAAUUCGAUGAUACGCGAGGAACCUUACCCGGGCUCGAACGGUGCAGGAAGCCUUCAGAGAUGGAGGCGCUCUUCGGAGCCUGUAUCGAGGUGCUGCAUGGUUGUCGUCAGCUCGUGCCGUGAGGUGUCGGCUUAAGUGCCAUAACGAGCGCAACCCUUGCUGACAGUUGCCAUCAGGUAAAGCUGGGGACUCUGUCGGGACUGCCACCGUAAGGUGUGAGGAAGGGGGGGAUGACGUCAAAUCAGCACGGCCCUUAUGUCCGGGGCGACACACGUGUUACAAUGGUGGGUACAGCGGGAAGCUACGCGGCGACGCGGUGCAAAUCUCGAAAACCCAUCCCAGUUCGGAUCGGAGUCUGCAACCCGACUCCGUGAAGUUGGAUUCGCUAGUAAUCGCGCAUCAGCCAUGGCGCGGUGAAUACGUUCCCGGGCCUUGUACACACCGCCCGUCAAGCCAUGGAAGCCGGGGGUGCCUGAAGUCCGUUACCGCAAGGAUCGGCCUAGGGCAAAACUGGUAACUGGGGCUA